UCUUGCUUUCUGCAUCGUGCAGUGUCGGUAGAACGAAAAUGCAGUCGCGCUGAUUGCAAGUGUGAGAAUGGAUGAUUCUAGACAAAACCAUCCCGAAGUGAUGCCCCAAUCAUAAGCCAAGUAUCCCAAAGGAAUGAGAUACAGACAGUUUCUUAAGGCCACUGCGGCAGUUCUCUGACCAGAAGCAUCAGUAAGAGAGUACAUUUUGUACCCUCCAG
This 218-nucleotide unclassified non-coding RNA is filed under the name Hevea brasiliensis (rubber tree). Lineage: Eukaryota; Viridiplantae; Streptophyta; Magnoliopsida; Malpighiales; Euphorbiaceae. The record is from RNAcentral.